AUUGAACGCUGGCGGCAUGCCUUACACAUGCAAGUCGAACGGUAACAGGCCGCAAGGUGCUGACGAGUGGCGAACGGGUGAGUAAUGCAUCGGAACGUGCCCAGUCGUGGGGGAUAACGCAGCGAAAGCUGCGCUAAUACCGCAUACGAUCUAUGGAUGAAAGCGGGGGACCGUAAGGCCUCGCGCGAUUGGAGCGGCCGAUGUCAGAUUAGGUAGUUGGUGGGGUAAAGGCUCACCAAGCCAACGAUCUGUAGCUGGUCUGAGAGGACGACCAGCCACACUGGGACUGAGACACGGCCCAGACUCCUACGGGAGGCAGCAGUGGGGAAUUUUGGACAAUGGGCGCAAGCCUGAUCCAGCAAUGCCGCGUGCAGG
RNAcentral lists this ribosomal RNA (375 nucleotides) under uncultured bacterium. RNAcentral's name for it is "bacterial SSU rRNA". It matches the Rfam family "Bacterial small subunit ribosomal RNA", at positions 29 to 407 of the family's 1533-position model. The record is from RNAcentral.